This 73-nucleotide transfer RNA is filed under the name Arthrobacter sp. M4. RNAcentral's name for it is "tRNA-Arg". It matches the Rfam family "tRNA". Rfam says of the family: Transfer RNA (tRNA) molecules are approximately 80 nucleotides in length. Their secondary structure includes four short double-helical elements and three loops (D, anti-codon, and T loops). Further hydrogen bonds mediate the characteristic L-shaped molecular structure. tRNAs have two regions of fundamental functional importance: the anti-codon, which is responsible for specific mRNA codon recognition, and the 3' end, to which the tRNAs corresponding amino acid is attached (by aminoacyl-tRNA synthetases). tRNAs cope with the degeneracy of the genetic code in two manners: having more than one tRNA (with a specific anti-codon) for a particular amino acid; and 'wobble' base-pairing, i.e. permitting non-standard base-pairing at the 3rd anti-codon position. Lineage: Bacteria; Bacillati; Actinomycetota; Actinomycetes; Micrococcales; Micrococcaceae. The record is from RNAcentral. RNAcentral also lists the same sequence under 2 other names.
GCCCUCGUAGCUCAGUGGAUAGAGCACGGCUCUCCUAAAGCCGGUGUCGUUGGUUCGAAUCCAAUCGAGGGCA